RNAcentral lists this ribosomal RNA (585 nucleotides) under uncultured bacterium. Its description in RNAcentral is "partial 16S ribosomal RNA". It matches the Rfam family "Bacterial small subunit ribosomal RNA", at positions 355 to 1375 of the family's 1533-position model. The record is from RNAcentral.
UGGGGAAUUUUGGACAAUGGGCGAAAGCCUGAUCCAGCAAUGCCGCGUGUGUGAAGAAGGCCUUCGGGUUGUAAAGCACUUUUGUCCGGAAAGAAAUCCUUGGCUCUAAUACAGUCGGGGGAUGACGGUACCGGAAGAAUAAGCACCGGCUAACUACGUGCCAGCAGCCGCGGUAAUACGUAGGGUGCAAGCGUUAAUCGGAAUUACUGGGCGUAAAGCGUGCGCAGGCGGUUUGCUAAGACCGAUGUGAAAUCCCCGGGCUCAACCUGGGAACUGCAUUGGUGACUGGCAGGCUAGAGUAUGGCAGAGGGGGGUAGAAUUCCACGUGUAGCAGUGAAACGCGUAGAGAUGUGGAGGAAUACCGAUGGCGAAGGCAGCCCCCUGGGCCAAUACUGACGCUCAUGCACGAAAGCGUGGGGAGCAAACAGGAUUAGAUACCCUGGUAGUCCACGCCCUAAACGAUGUCAACUAGUUGUUGGGGAUUCAUUUCCUUAGUAACGUAGCUAACGCGUGAAGUUGACCGCCUGGGGAGUACGGUCGCAAGAUUAAAACUCAAAGGAAUUGACGGGGUCAUAGCUGUUUCCU